Molecule: non-coding RNA, 1912 nt
Organism: Pelobates cultripes (western spadefoot toad)
Lineage: Eukaryota; Metazoa; Chordata; Amphibia; Anura; Pelobatidae
Source: the annotation of a GenBank genome assembly
GUCAAACAUCCAUAUAAGAAUAAACUGCAUACGUGUAUAACAUUACAAAUACAUACACCAGAAGUAAGUAGAAAUAAAGUGCAAAAACAUUUAAUAGUGUUUCAAGUAUAUUGACCCAGGGCUGGAGACCAAAAUUCCCCAAUGUUUCGGCUAGUGCCUUUCUGAAGGGGAUCUAAAAGACCUAUGUUCACAAAUCUUAUUUAUACCUAAACUGAAUCUGUGUACCUUCCCACCUAAAAACAUAAAUGUUCCUUAAUGGGGCAUCAUAAUACACUUCAGCUGCAUACAAAGGUGAAGCUGCUCUAUUCCGAAUUUCCAGUGUAUUAUGUCAUCGCUUCCUCACAGGCCGUAUUUAUAAGUCCCAGGAGCGGCCCAAACCCUGCCCUCUUCUCCCCCCUGACUCCCCUAAUUGCCCACAUACAACACUACCAAGUCUACACUUGGCCCCAACUACAGAUUCCAGGAGCAGCCAAAAUACCACUCGAAUUGGAUGUCCAUCACAUGACGUAAGCGUGCACACAUGCGCUACGUCUGAUGUCAUCGCGCAAUCCCGGGUCAUAGUUAUCGAUCGCUGAAGAUGCCAAAAUAGUACUAACAGCAUGUAAAAUGCAGUAACAGCUGAAAUAUGUGAAAAGAUAUGGUCUAAAAAUAGUAUAAGAACCAGAAGGAAAACAAAGUAUCUUAUCAUCAUACCAAAAACAAAAAGGUUAUGUAUAAGUCUAUUGUGCUUAUUCAAAUGGUCCCAUAAUGGAUAACCCACAAUUUAUAGCAGGUAACUUGGUAUAUCAAAGCUUUGCAUGCUCUACAGUGUUCAGAAAGUCACACAAUUUAACAAGAUUUUCUUUUGACAAUGCUCCUUUUACCUCAAGUUUCAAAACUUCUGAUAUUUUUUUUUUGCUCAGAUUAGGGGUGUGUGGAGUGUGAUGCAGAAAAUGUCCUUAGUUGAUUGAGAUGUUGCAGCCUUCCGGUUACCUACAAUUGCAAGCACUUUCCACCCUGGCUCAACACAGACACUUACAGUACUCACUCUGCUGCUCUCCUUAACUGAGUUGUGAGUCUAAUAAAACUGGUGGUAGACUGUCGUCACUGGGAGCCGACCCUUCCAAUCACUGGGAGGAUCAAGCCAUACAGGAAUCAAGGCGACUGGAAGAUAAUUUUGGACUAUAUUUUAUUAUUUCUUUGUCUACCUUUUUUAUUUGGCGUUACCUGCUUCAGUAUGUUGUUUCUGUUUUGUGGGGCAUAGAGGGUUCCCGUACUCAGUGUUUGCUGCCUAAGGUGAUCUACUUUUGAACUUUUAGCAUUUAUAAGCCCUGUGUAUAUUUCCUGUUUUUCUUUUGUAUACCCUUAAGAUAUAGCUGCUUGUUCUCAUGCCUCAUUACCAUGUCUACCUUUGAAUAUAGAAAUAAUUACACUAACUAAAGGCUAGCCCUGUAUAAAAGGUACUGAUAGGGAAAGUCAAUAUGACCUAUUACACCACGAGACCUGAGAAUCGUUAAAAUAUCUCCGAUCAGGAUGACGAGGAAUUUAUGGCAAUUUUGAAUAACAAAUUGGAAACGUGUAUAUUCGGGUAAAUGGACACACUAAUAAUCAAGAAAAUAAAAAAAUUGUCAAUUACCUGAUAAAGAUGUUAACCAACUAAGGGAUAAACUAUUCCCAUUUUCUGACGCAAGAAAACAAGCAAAACUCCGUACUUAUUCAAAGUAAAAGAUCGAAAUUGACACCAAAAAUUUGAAAAUAAAAAGUAUGUAAGGGACACACAAGACUAUGCAAAUAAUCAAAUUAGAACAUGCCACAAACACAAUUCAAUAUCAGAUGAGAUGUAUUUUUAAUAUGGAUACUGUGCUACCUCACUGUUUAAAUGACGAUUUUAAAAUUUAUUAUUUUAUAUAAUUUAUGUAUUCUAACUUCCAUU